UCUUUCUCUUUGGCCUCAAGAGUGGGUGCAAAGUUGAGGGGGUUGAAGAUGCCGCCGGGGUACCCACAUUCAUUUGGAGGCAAGCUGUAUUGUUUGAAGAUGGGAUCUUGGUUAACGCAUCCUGGGUUCUUAAUAUCUUGCCACCUUCUUAUCUCGACGUAAUGGAACAGUAUGAACUCGAUCACAAAGAGGGUUGAUGACGACGCAAAGUAUUCUGCUUUGCCUGCAUCAUACCACUGAGGAGCAUUGAUGAUUCCGAUCUUUGUGAAAACCUCCGGCAGUAGCAUUCCGGCAACGCCCAACAUGGCCCAACGACCAUUCACAAGCUCAGCCUGAACGAACCAUCUCAGGUUCUCAGGGUCCUCAGCAAGCCCGAGUGGGUCAAACCCGUUAUCACCUGGAAGGCUGAGCCAUACAAGACAAGGUUUCAGUCAAUGCUAAUUGAGAGCAUUAGCUAAGAGAAAAGCUAUAAAACAUGUUUUCUUUUUCACCUGCCAUUUAGAUAAGAUGGAGAAGGCAAACCAGGUAACCACUCUCCUUUCUUGGCUUCAACCUUGAAGCUAGGAGAUGACGAUGCCACUGGUUUGAUGGACAAUUCUCUGUUCAGUUUACUUGGAGCCCCAGCGAGAAACCUCGACUUAUAAGCACAUGGCCGGAAAAC
RNAcentral lists this long non-coding RNA (661 nucleotides) under Populus tremula. RNAcentral describes it as "long non-coding RNA (PTRE_LNC001078)". Lineage: Eukaryota; Viridiplantae; Streptophyta; Magnoliopsida; Malpighiales; Salicaceae. The record is from RNAcentral.